ACACUCUGAAGGCAGAAGCUGUCUAGAUGGCGGAAGACGUCCAUCCCGCAGGGCUAGAGACAGAGCUGAAGAACGGAGCAGCUAGGAGAGGCAAUGAUAGGGUUUCAAUCUGUGUUCCCUGCUAACCUGGAACUUACUACGUCGCCUAAACCUCCCUCAACUCUUCCUGCUUCAACGUCCCAAGUACUGUAAUUAGAGGUUUGAGUGACGGUAGCUGCUUGACUGUAUUCAGGUGUAACUGAAGACUCACUAUGUGGUAAUACAUGCGGGGACCCUGGAAAUCUGAUCUAAAUUGGCUUCAUCACAAGCACAAGCCCACUGCUAUGAGAUAUCUGAUUCUCACUCCUGAAGGGGAAAAAAAUCUCUG
Molecule: non-coding RNA, 367 nt
Organism: Peromyscus maniculatus bairdii (prairie deer mouse)
Lineage: Eukaryota; Metazoa; Chordata; Mammalia; Rodentia; Cricetidae
Source: RefSeq, a predicted model, not a curated record